UACGUAGGGUGCGAGCGUUGUCCGGAAUUAUUGGGCGUAAAGAGCUUGUAGGCGGUUUGUCGCGUCUGCUGUGAAAAUCCGGGGCUCAACCCCGGACUUGCAGUGGGUACGGGCAGACUAGAGUGUGGUAGGGGAGACUGGAAUUCCUGGUGUAGCGGUGGAAUGCGCAGAUAUCAGGAAGAACACCCGUGGCGAAGGCGGCUCUCUGGAACGCAACUGACGCUGAGACGCGAAAGCGUGGGGAGCAAACAGG
This 253-nucleotide ribosomal RNA is filed under the name uncultured bacterium. RNAcentral's name for it is "partial 16S ribosomal RNA". It matches the Rfam family "Bacterial small subunit ribosomal RNA", at positions 524 to 776 of the family's 1533-position model. The record is from RNAcentral.